This 21-nucleotide non-coding RNA is filed under the name Caenorhabditis elegans. Lineage: Eukaryota; Metazoa; Nematoda; Chromadorea; Rhabditida; Rhabditidae. The record is from RNAcentral.
UACAUUAAUAAUUUGGACAAA